UAUGUGAGACUCAACGAUCUGCAGGUGU
This 28-nucleotide non-coding RNA is filed under the name Bombyx mori (domestic silkworm). Lineage: Eukaryota; Metazoa; Arthropoda; Insecta; Lepidoptera; Bombycidae. The record is from RNAcentral.